GCCAGGCGUGGUGGCUCACGCCUGUAAUCCCAGCACCUUGGGAGGCCAAGAUGGGAGGAUCACUUGAGGUCAGGAGUUUGAGACCAGCCUGGCCAACAUGGUGAAAUCCCAUCUCUA
Molecule: non-coding RNA, 117 nt
Filed under: Gorilla gorilla gorilla (western lowland gorilla)
Lineage: Eukaryota; Metazoa; Chordata; Mammalia; Primates; Hominidae
Source: Rfam by way of RNAcentral